ACGGGGCGCAGCAGGCGCGAACACUUUACAAUGCGAGAAACCGCGAUAAGGGAACCCCGAGUGCCAGCAUCAAAUGUUGGCUGUCCAGAUGAUUAAAAAUCAUUUGUUAGCAAGGGCCGGGCAAGACCGGUGCCAGCCGCCGCGGUAACACCGGCGGCCCGAGUGGUAGCCGUUUUUAUUGGGUCUAAAGGGUCCGUAGCCGGCCUGAUAAGUCCUUUGGGAAAUCUGGCAGCUUAACUGUCAGGCUUCUAAGGGAUACUGUCAGGCUUGGGACCGGAAGAGGUAAGGGGUACUCCAGGGGUAGGAGUGAAAUCUUGUAAUUCCCUGGGGGACCAUCUGUGGCGAAGGCGCCUUACCAGAACGGGUCCGACGGUGAGGGACGAAAGCUAGGGGAGCAAACCGGAUUAGAUACCCGGGUAGUCCUAGCUGUAAACGAUGCUCGCUAGGUGUCAGACACGGUGCGACCGUGUUUGGUGCCGCAGGGAAGCCGUUAAGCGAGCCACCUGGAAGUACGUCGCAAGG
Molecule: ribosomal RNA, 522 nt
Filed under: uncultured archaeon
Lineage: Archaea
Description: bacterial SSU rRNA
Rfam family: Archaeal small subunit ribosomal RNA
Source: RNAcentral